RNAcentral lists this long non-coding RNA (201 nucleotides) under Elaeis guineensis (African oil palm). RNAcentral describes it as "long non-coding RNA (EGUI_LNC041103)". The record is from RNAcentral. Lineage: Eukaryota; Viridiplantae; Streptophyta; Magnoliopsida; Arecales; Arecaceae.
UUCGUGGCCAUGCUGAAAUCCAUCCAGACUCUGUUUAUGGUUGUAGCUUAUCAUGAUUUUGAAAUUUGAUAGGUGGAUGGAAAAUUGCCUUUCUAAAUGGAUAUCUUUAGGAAGAUAUCUAUAUAAAGCAGCCUAUGGGUUUUACAUCCAGUGAUAGUGAUCACAAGGUCUGCAACCUGCAAAGGUAUGUAUAUAGACUCA